Molecule: ribosomal RNA, 1372 nt
Filed under: uncultured bacterium
Lineage: Bacteria
Description: bacterial SSU rRNA
Rfam family: Bacterial small subunit ribosomal RNA
Source: RNAcentral
GAUGAACGCUGGCGGCGUGCCUAAUACAUGCAAGUCGAGCGAACGGACGAGAAGCUUGCUUCUCUGAUGUUAGCGGCGGACGGGUGAGUAACACGUGGAUAACCUACCUAUAAGACUGGGAUAACUUCGGGAAACCGGAGCUAAUACCGGAUAAUAUUUUGAACCGCAUGGUUCAAAAGUGAAAGACGGUCUUGCUGUCACUUAUAGAUGGAUCCGCGCUGCAUUAGCUAGUUGGUAAGGUAACGGCUUACCAAGGCAACGAUGCAUAGCCGACCUGAGAGGGUGAUCGGCCACACUGGAACUGAGACACGGUCCAGACUCCUACGGGAGGCAGCAGUAGGGAAUCUUCCGCAAUGGGCGAAAGCCUGACGGAGCAACGCCGCGUGAGUGAUGAAGGUCUUCGGAUCGUAAAACUCUGUUAUUAGGGAAGAACAUAUGUGUAAGUAACUGUGCACAUCUUGACGGUACCUAAUCAGAAAGCCACGGCUAACUACGUGCCAGCAGCCGCGGUAAUACGUAGGUGGCAAGCGUUAUCCGGAAUUAUUGGGCGUAAAGCGCGCGUAGGCGGUUUUUUAAGUCUGAUGUGAAAGCCCACGGCUCAACCGUGGAGGGUCAUUGGAAACUGGAAAACUUGAGUGCAGAAGAGGAAAGUGGAAUUCCAUGUGUAGCGGUGAAAUGCGCAGAGAUAUGGAGGAACACCAGUGGCGAAGGCGACUUUCUGGUCUGUAACUGACGCUGAUGUGCGAAAGCGUGGGGAUCAAACAGGAUUAGAUACCCUGGUAGUCCACGCCGUAAACGAUGAGUGCUAAGUGUUAGGGGGUUUCCGCCCCUUAGUGCUGCAGCUAACGCAUUAAGCACUCCGCCUGGGGAGUACGACCGCAAGGUUGAAACUCAAAGGAAUUGACGGGGACCCGCACAAGCGGUGGAGCAUGUGGUUUAAUUCGAAGCAACGCGAAGAACCUUACCAAAUCUUGACAUCCUUUGACAACUCUAGAGAUAGAGCUUUCCCCUUCGGGGGACAAAGUGACAGGUGGUGCAUGGUUGUCGUCAGCUCGUGUCGUGAGAUGUUGGGUUAAGUCCCGCAACGAGCGCAACCCUUAAGCUUAGUUGCCAUCAUUAAGUUGGGCACUCUAAGUUGACUGCCGGUGACAAACCGGAGGAAGGUGGGGAUGACGUCAAAUCAUCAUGCCCCUUAUGAUUUGGGCUACACACGUGCUACAAUGGACAAUACAAAGGGCAGCGAAACCGUGAGGUCAAGCAAAUCCCAUAAAGUUGUUCUCAGUUCGGAUUGUAGUCUGCAAUUCGACUACAUGAAGCUGGAAUCGCUAGUAAUCGUAGAUCAGCAUGCUACGGUGAAUACGUUCCCGGGUCU